GUGCAGCUUGUGAGGAAGCCAUUGGUGGUCAUCUUUAACAGCUCAGUUCCCCAGAGAAGCUCCCUGGAAACCGGGAGGCUGACUUCUUCACCAACUGCAGAACCACCUGAGGCCACCUGGCAGAGCCCUGAGUGCCUUGCCUGGCUGUAAGAGGAAUACUUUCAUCACCAAGCCUAGGAGAAUGCCUUUGUCCAUCGAGGGUCCCCAUUGGGGUUAACUGGAGCCCUUGCAGAUCAAGGCUGCCUCUGCCUUCUGUGUUCCUGGCUGUGCAGUUGUCCAUAACAGUCACCACCCUAACCAGUGAUCCAGUUCUCACUCCCUCCUCCAGAGCAAGAUAAUAGACUCAGAUGAAGAAAUUCUGAUUCUGAGCCCGAGAAUCUGAGACAGACUCAGAUCUAAAUCUUUUUAAAGUCUUCAAGGAGUUUAUGAUGCCCAGUGAGCUGGCUCAGAAGAAGAAUUUAUUUCAGGAAUGCCAAGAAUUUCUCAUGCUUGGUGGUAGGACAUUCCUUGAUAAUUUAGCCAGGUGGGAAGUUGUCAAAGAACUGCCAAACCCAUAAGGAUUCUUGUAGCUCACAGCCAGGGGACGACCUUAUAUUUUGAAUUUAAGAUUAAGGGGAAAAAAGAAACACAAAAAACAUAUACAGUACAUUCUUGUUGUGGUAGAGCACAAAGUAAUUAAGUAUACAGAGAAAAACAUGAAAGUCUUUUCUGUUACAAAUUCCCUCUGUCCAACGAUUCAGGUCCAGUUCCCUCGGCUUGGUAGGUUCUGCCUGUUCCACAUCUAUGCAUUCCCCAUCUAUCUAAUGUAUAUUCAGAGACAAAUGUAUAUACAUGAGAUCAAAUAAUAGAUAUUUUGAAGAUUUGCUUUCAUUCAUGUUUACCUCAGUCAUAACAUUAAAUCUUGGCUGGGUGCAGUGGCUCAUGCCUGUAAUCCCAGCUCUUAGGGAGGCAGAGGUGGGAGGAUAGCUUCAGCUCAGGAGUUCGAGACCUGACUGGACAAUAUAGCAAGACUCUGAUCUCCACAAAAAGGAAAGAAAAAAGUAUAAAAAAUAAAAUAAAAAUAAUAAAUAAAUAAAAAUAAGCAAAAGUUUAUACACUUAAAUUAUGCUUCAUAAUGCAUAUUUUAGUCUUUCAUUUUUCCUAGAAAUUAUUUAUGUACCUAGCAAAUAUCCAUCAAUUAAAUGAGUACAAGGUUUUAAGUUAUCUAAAGAUCUUUGAAAUCUAAAGUGGACAUACCAUGAAAGAUAACUUUUUUUUUUUUUUUUGAGAUGGAGUUUCGCUCUGUUGCCCAGGCUUGGAGUGCAGUGGCACAAUCUCGGCUCACUGCAACCUCUGCCUCCCAGGUUCAAGCGAUUCUCCUGUCUCAGCCUCCGAAGUAGCUGGGACUACAGGCCCACACCAUCACAUCCGGCAAAUUUUCAUGUUUUUAGCAAAGAUGGAAUUUCAUUAUAUUGAUCAUGCUGGUCUCGAACUCCUGACCUCAGGUGACCCACCCACCUCGCCCUCCCAUAGUGCUGGGAUUACAGGUGUGAGCAACCUCGCCCAGCCAAAAGAUAACUUUUGGAAUAAAAUUCACCAGUGCAAUAUAUCAAUUUUGUUAAACACAGAUUGACAUUUACAUAUUUAAACAUUAUGUAAAAGCAAUGCUAGCUUAUUUUAUCAGUAAAUAUGUAUAAGUUCAGGAAAAAAAUAUAUAAGCAGAAUAAAAAUGCAUGCUUGCAUUAUACAAUAAGAUGGGUGUACAUUUCCAGAGUUCUUGUAUUCAUACACUGUAUAAGAAGAUGACAAACAAUUUUGCAAUGAAAAAUCUUGUCCAUA
RNAcentral lists this long non-coding RNA (1818 nucleotides) under Pan troglodytes (chimpanzee). RNAcentral describes it as "lincRNA". The record is from RNAcentral. Lineage: Eukaryota; Metazoa; Chordata; Mammalia; Primates; Hominidae.